This 822-nucleotide ribosomal RNA is filed under the name Acinetobacter sp. N8. RNAcentral's name for it is "bacterial SSU rRNA". It matches the Rfam family "Bacterial small subunit ribosomal RNA", at positions 81 to 904 of the family's 1533-position model. The record is from RNAcentral. Lineage: Bacteria; Pseudomonadati; Pseudomonadota; Gammaproteobacteria; Moraxellales; Moraxellaceae.
GCUAGAGAAGAUUAGUGGCGGACGGGUGAGUAACAUUUAGGAAUCUGCCUAGUAGUGGGGGAUAGCUCGGGGAAACUCGAAUUAAUACCGCAUACGACCUACGGGUGAAAGGGGGCGCAAGCUCUUGCUAUUAGAUGAGCCUAAAUCAGAUUAGCUAGUUGGUGGGGUAAAGGCCCACCAAGGCGACGAUCUGUAACUGGUCUGAGAGGAUGAUCAGUCACACCGGAACUGAGACACGGUCCGGACUCCUACGGGAGGCAGCAGUGGGGAAUAUUGGACAAUGGGGGCAACCCUGAUCCAGCCAUGCCGCGUGUGUGAAGAAGGCCUUUUGGUUGUAAAGCACUUUAAGCAGGGAGGAGAGGCUAAUGGUUAAUACCCAUUAGAUUAGACGUUACCUGCAGAAUAAGCACCGGCUAACUCUGUGCCAGCAGCCGCGGUAAUACAGAGGGUGCGAGCGUUAAUCGGAAUUACUGGGCGUAAAGCGAGUGUAGGUGGCUCAUUAAGUCACAUGUGAAAUCCCCGGGCUUAACCUGGGAACUGCAUGUGAUACUGGUGGUGCUAGAAUAUGUGAGAGGGAAGUAGAAUUCCAGGUGUAGCGGUGAAAUGCGUAGAGAUCUGGAGGAAUACCGAUGGCGAAGGCAGCUUCCUGGCAUAAUAUUGACACUGAGAUUCGAAAGCGUGGGUAGCAAACAGGAUUAGAUACCCUGGUAGUCCACGCCGUAAACGAUGUCUACUAGCCGUUGGGGUCCUUGAGACUUUAGUGGCGCAGUUAACGCGAUAAGUAGACCGCCUGGGGAGUACGGCCGCAAGGUUAAAACUCAA